AUGGAGAGUUCGAUCCUGGCUCAGAACGAACGCUGGCGGCGCGUUUUAAGCAUGCAAGUCGAGCGGCAGCAGCAAUGCGAGAGCGGCGGACGGGUGAGUAACACGUGGGUAAUCUGCCCUCCGGUCGGGAAUAGCCUGUGGAAACACAGGAUAAUACCGGAUGCGAUGGUCCCCGCACAAGCGGGGGUCAGGAAAGGAGCCAAGGCUCCGCCGGAGGAUGAGCCCGCGUCCCAUUAGCUUGAUGGUGAGGUAAAGGCCCACCAUGGCGAUGAUGGGUAGCCGGCCUGAGAGGGUGAACGGUCACAUUGGAACUGAGACACGGUCCAGACUCCUACGGGAGGCAGCAGCUAAGAAUCUUCCACAAUGGACGAAAGUCUGAUGGAGCGACGCCGCGUGGGCGAUGAAGGCCGUGAGGUUGUAAAGCCCUUUUCUUGAGGGGGAAUAACGCAGGCAGGGAAUGGCCUGCGGAUGACGUGAAUCAAGGAAUAAGCCCCGGCUAACUACGUGCCAGCAGCCGCGGUAACACGUAGGGGGCGAGCGUUGUUCGGAAUCAUUGGGCGUAAAGGGCGCGCAGGCGGCCGUGUAAGUCUGGUGUAAAAUGGUUGUGCUCAACACAAUCAUGCGCUGGAAACUGCGGGGCUUGAGUCAACGAGGGGAUGCCGGAAUUCCAGGUGUAGGGGUGAAAUCUGUAGAUAUCUGGAAGAACACCAGUGGCGAAGGCAGGCAUCUGGCGACUGACUGACGCUGAGGCGCGAAGGUGCGGGGAGCAAACAGGUUUAGAUACCCUGGUAGUCCGCACAGUAAACGAUGUGCACCAGGUGGCGGGCAGCAGUGCUCGGUACCGAAGCAAACGCAUUAAGUGCACCGCCUGGGGAGUAUGCCCGCAAGGGUGAAACUCAAAGGAAUUGACGGGGGCCCGCACAAGCGGUGGAGCAUGUGGUUUAAUUCGACGAUACGCGAGAAACCUUACCAGGGCUUGACAUACACCGGGAUGCGGCGGAAACGUCGCAGCUGCUUGCAGCCGGUGUACAGGUGCUGCAUGGCUGUCGUCAGCUCGUGCUGUGAAGUGUUGGGUUAAGUCCCGCAACGAGCGCAACCCCUGCCUUCUGUUACCAUCAUUCAGUUGGGGACUCAGAAGGAACUGCCGGUGACAAACCGGAGGAAGGUGGGGACGACGUCAAGUCAUCAUGGCCCUUACGUCCUGGGCCACACACGUGCUACAAUGGCCGGUACAGAGUGCUGCGAAUCCGGAAGGAGGAGCGAAUCACAAAAAGCCGGUCUCAGUACGGACUGGAGUCUGCAACCCGACUCCACGAAGUUGGAAUCGCUAGUAAUCCCGUAUCAGCAUGACGGGGUGAAUACGUUCCCGGGCCUUGUACACACCGCCCGUCACACCAUCCGAGUUGGGGGUACCCGAAGUCGCUAGUCUGACCGCAAGGGGGACGGUGCCGAAGGUACGCCUGGUGAGGGGGGUGAAGUCGUAACAAGGCAGCCGUACCGGAAGGUGCGGCUGGAUCACCUCCUU
This 1525-nucleotide ribosomal RNA is filed under the name bovine gut metagenome. RNAcentral's name for it is "Bacterial small subunit ribosomal RNA". It matches the Rfam family "Bacterial small subunit ribosomal RNA". The record is from RNAcentral.